UGGGGAGUACGACCGCAAGGUUGAAACUCAAAGGAAUUGACGGGGGCCCGCACAAGCGGUGGAGCAUGUGGUUUAAUUUGAAGCAACGCGAAGAACCUUACCAGGUCUUGACAUCCUUUGACCACUCUAGAGAUAGAGCUUUCCCUUUGGGGACAAAGUGACAGGUGGUGCAUGGUUGUCGUCAGCUCGUGUCGUGAGAUGUUGGGUUAAGUCCCGCAACGAGCGCAACCCUUAUUGUUAGUUGCCAUCAUUUAGUUGGGCACUCUAGCGAGACUGCCGGUGACAAACCGGAGGAAGGUGGGGAUGACGUCAAAUCAUCAUGCCCCUUAUGACCUGGGCUACACACGUGCUACAAUGGGAAGUACAACGAGUCGCUAGACCGCGAGGUCAUGCAAAUCUCUUAAAGCUUCUCUCAGUUCGGAUUGCAGGCUGCAACUCGCCUGCAUGAAGCCGGAAUCGCUAGUAAUCGCGGAUCAGCACGCCGCGGUGAAUACGUUCCCGGGCCUUGUACACACCGCCCGUCACACCACGAGAGUUUGUAACACCCGAAGUCGGUGAGGUAACCU
RNAcentral lists this ribosomal RNA (566 nucleotides) under Enterococcus faecalis. RNAcentral's name for it is "bacterial SSU rRNA". It matches the Rfam family "Bacterial small subunit ribosomal RNA", at positions 874 to 1441 of the family's 1533-position model. The record is from RNAcentral. Lineage: Bacteria; Bacillati; Bacillota; Bacilli; Lactobacillales; Enterococcaceae.